Molecule: transfer RNA, 72 nt
Filed under: Phallusia fumigata
Lineage: Eukaryota; Metazoa; Chordata; Ascidiacea; Phlebobranchia; Ascidiidae
Description: transfer RNA-Gly (GGN)
Source: RNAcentral
GAGAGCCUAGUAUAAGCGCUAAUAAAUAUGGCUACUUUCCAAGUAGCGGAUCCUUUAGUAGGGGGGCUCUCA